This 255-nucleotide ribosomal RNA is filed under the name uncultured bacterium. RNAcentral describes it as "partial 16S ribosomal RNA". It matches the Rfam family "Bacterial small subunit ribosomal RNA", at positions 524 to 776 of the family's 1533-position model. The record is from RNAcentral.
UACGGGGGGGGCAAGCGUUGUUCGGAAUUACUGGGCGUAAAGCGUGCGCAGGCGGUUGUGCAAGACCGAUGUGAAAUCCCCGGGCUUAACCUGGGAAUGGCAUUGGUGACUGCACGGCUAGAGUGUGUCAGAGGGGGGUAGAAUUCCACGUGUAGCAGUGAAAUGCGUAGAGAUGUGGAGGAAUACCGAUGGCGAAGGCAGCCCCCCUGGGAUAACACUGACGCUCAUGCACGAAAGCGUGGGGGAGCAAACAGG